GACGUCCGCUUGCAGGUUAUUUCAUUAUAAACAUAACCCAGUUUCACCCAUUUCCAAUUGACUACUUGUUUACAUAUGUAAACAUUACGUUUAACUACGUAUUAAAUUUGGUAUUACUUAUACAAUUGGUUCAAAAUGUCACAUUUUUGCAGUGUCGUUUAAUGCUCAAUGCAUGCUGAACGAGAUACGGUUUCUUUUUUCCGAUUUUAGCGAGACAUAGAAGAGAGAGAUGAUUUGAAUAAAUAUUCUCUAGUGAACGUCGAAAUGCUUGUGUUAAGGCUUUAAAACGGGCACCUCUACGUGAAAUCUAUAUGAGAAAUGAUCGUAUUUGCUUACGACAUCAUAACUGGAAAACCAGCUGCCUUGAAAGACAAAACUAAUCCAGAUGUGUUGCCCAACGAAAAUUUAGGAAACAUUUAUAGUCCAGAUCAAUCUGCCUGCCUACUCCCUAUUUAAAAGGUUUUUAAAAAGAGCUAGAAUGAAGCCAGAGGUUGGUUGUUAUAACAUUAAAAAGCAUAAUGGUUUUAA
Long non-coding RNA from Dendroctonus ponderosae (mountain pine beetle), 528 nucleotides. RefSeq lists it as uncharacterized. Lineage: Eukaryota; Metazoa; Arthropoda; Insecta; Coleoptera; Curculionidae. The record is from RefSeq and is a predicted model, not a curated record. The transcript is spliced from 2 exons.